This 496-nucleotide ribosomal RNA is filed under the name Lasius spathepus. RNAcentral's name for it is "partial 16S ribosomal RNA". Lineage: Eukaryota; Metazoa; Arthropoda; Insecta; Hymenoptera; Formicidae. The record is from RNAcentral.
GGUUUUUUGAAUUAUAAUUUAAGAUUAGUUCUGCUCAAUGAUUUAGAUUAAAUAGCCGCAGUAUUUUGACUGUGCUAAGGUAGCAUAAUCAAUUGUUUUUUAAUUGAGAACUGGAAUGAAGGAAUUGAUGAGAUUAAGGCUGUCUAUUAUAGAGUAUUAAAAUUUAAAUUUUAAGUAAUAAUUCUUAAAUAAAAUUAUGGGACGAGAAGACCCUAUAGAAUUUAAUAUAGUUUUUUAAAAUAUAAGUAUAAAGAUUUAAUAAAAUUAAUAUUUUAUUGGGAGGAUAAUUAAAUUAAAUUAACUUUAAAAUUAAAAUUAAACAUUAAUUUAUGAUGUAUAUUAUUGAAUAAUUUUAUUAUAAAAAAUAAAAUUAAUAAAAAAUUAAUUACCUUAGGGAUAACAGCGUAAUAUUUUUAGAAAGAUCAUAUUGAUAAAAAUGUUUGCGACCUCGAUGUUGAAUUAAAAUAAAAAUUAAAUGAAGAAGUUUAAUAUUUUA